CGGAUCGCAGGCUGCAACUCGCCUGCGUCAAGUUGGAAUUGCUAGUAAUCGCGGAUCAGCAUGCCGCGGUGAAUACGUUCCCGGGCCUUGUACACACCGCCCGUCACACCAUGAGAGUCGGGAACACCCGAAGUCCGUAGUCUAACCGCAAGGAGGGCGCGGCCGAAGGUGGGUUCGAUAAUUGGGGUGAAGUCGUAACAAGGUACC
This 207-nucleotide ribosomal RNA is filed under the name uncultured bacterium. Its description in RNAcentral is "partial 16S ribosomal RNA". It matches the Rfam family "Bacterial small subunit ribosomal RNA", at positions 1294 to 1500 of the family's 1533-position model. The record is from RNAcentral.